RNAcentral lists this ribosomal RNA (423 nucleotides) under uncultured bacterium. Its description in RNAcentral is "partial 16S ribosomal RNA". It matches the Rfam family "Bacterial small subunit ribosomal RNA", at positions 28 to 526 of the family's 1533-position model. The record is from RNAcentral.
GACGAACGCUGGCGGCGCGCUUAACACAUGCAAGUCGAGCGAAGCGGCGGACGGGUGAGUAACACGUGAGUAACCUGCCUUAGACAUUGGGAUAGCCUCGGGAAACCGGGAUUAAUACCAAAUGGUCUAAGAUGGACUCGCGUCCCAUUAGCUAGUUGGUGGGUAACGGCCUACCAAGGCGGUGACGGGUAGCCGGCCUGAGAGGGAGACCGGCCACAGUGGAACUGAGAUACGGCCCAGACGCUGCGGGAGUCAGCAGUGGGGGAUAUUGCACAAUGGGCGAAAGCCUGAUGCAGCGACGCCGCGUGGGGGAUGAAGGCGUUCGGGUUGUAAACCUCUUUCGCAAUGGCUCACUAUCGGGUGGGUUGAGGGUAGGUGGAGAAGAAGCGCCGGCUAACUACGUGCCAGCAGCCGCGGUAAUAC